GCGACCCCAGGUCAGGCGGGGCUACCCGCUGAAUUUAAGCAUAUCAAUAAGCGGAGGAGAAGAAACUUACAAGGAUUCCCC
RNAcentral lists this ribosomal RNA (81 nucleotides) under Silene aprica. RNAcentral describes it as "partial 28S ribosomal RNA". It matches the Rfam family "Eukaryotic large subunit ribosomal RNA", at positions 1 to 80 of the family's 3401-position model. Lineage: Eukaryota; Viridiplantae; Streptophyta; Magnoliopsida; Caryophyllales; Caryophyllaceae. The record is from RNAcentral.